GUGCCAGCCGCCGCGGUAAUACGAGUGGUGCAAGCGUUAUUCGGAAUCAUUGGGCGUAAAGGGUGUGUAGACGGUAUGUUAAGUCAACUGUUAAAUUCUCCGGCCUAACCGGAGGUCAGCAGUAGAAACUGGCGUGCUAGAGGGUGGAAGAGAGAAGUGGAAUUCUCGGAGUAGCGGUAAAAUGCGUAGAUCUCGAGAGGAACACCAAUGGCGAAGGCAGCUUCUUGGUCCAUUUCUGACGUUGAAACACGAAAGCGUGGGGAGCAAACAGGAUUAGAUACCCGUGUAGUCC
Molecule: ribosomal RNA, 292 nt
Filed under: uncultured bacterium
Lineage: Bacteria
Description: partial 16S ribosomal RNA
Rfam family: Bacterial small subunit ribosomal RNA
Source: RNAcentral